Molecule: ribosomal RNA, 529 nt
Filed under: uncultured bacterium
Lineage: Bacteria
Description: partial 16S ribosomal RNA
Rfam family: Bacterial small subunit ribosomal RNA
Source: RNAcentral
UGGGGAGUAUUGGACAAUGGGGGCAACCCUGAUCCAGCAAUGCCGCGUGUGUGAAGAAGGUCUUCGGAUUGUAAAGCACUUUCGACGGGGACGAUGAUGACGGUACCCGUAGAAGAAGCCCCGGCUAACUUCGUGCCAGCAGCCGCGGUAAUAUGAAGGGGGCUAGCGUUGCUCGGAAUGACUGGGCGUAAAGGGCGUGUAGGCGGUUUACACAGUCAGAUGUGAAAUCCCCGGGCUUAACCUGGGAGCUGCAUUUGAUACGUGUAGACUAGAGUGUGAGAGAGGGUUGUGGAAUUCCCAGUGUAGAGGUGAAAUUCGUAGAUAUUGGGAAGAACACCGGUGGCGAAGGCGGCAACCUGGCUCAUGACUGACGCUGAGGCGCGAAAGCGUGGGGAGCAAACAGGAUUAGAUACCCUGGUAGUCCACGCUGUAAACGAUGUGUGCUAGAUGUUGGGCUAACUUUGUUAUUCAGUGUCGCAGUUAACGCGUUAAGCACACCGCCUGGGGAGUACGGCCGCAAGGUUGAAAC